GACGAACGCUGGCGGCGUGCUUAACACAUGCCAGUCGAACGGAAAGGCCCUGCGUUUGUGGGGUGCUCGUGUGGCGAACGGGUGAGUAACACGUGAGUAACCUGCCCUUGACUGUGGGAUAACUUCAGGAAACUGGGGCUAAUACCGGAUAGGAGCUCCUGCUGCAUGGGGGUGGUUGGAGAGUGUCGGCGGUGGGGGCUGGACUCGCUGCUUAUCAGCUUGUUUGUGGGGUAGUGGCUUACCACGGCUUUGACGGGUAGCCGGCCUGAGAGGGUGACCGGCCACAUUGGGACUGCGAUACGGCCCAGUCUCCUACGGGCGGCAGCAGGGGGGAAUAUGGCACAGUGGGCGGAAGCCUGAUGCAGAAACGCCGCGUGCGUGAUGACGGCCUUCGGGUGGUAAACCGCUUUCGCCUGUGACGAAGCGUGCGUGACGGUAACGGGUCAAGAAGCACCGGCUAACUACGUG
RNAcentral lists this ribosomal RNA (468 nucleotides) under uncultured bacterium. RNAcentral's name for it is "partial 16S ribosomal RNA". It matches the Rfam family "Bacterial small subunit ribosomal RNA", at positions 28 to 507 of the family's 1533-position model. The record is from RNAcentral.